UAAUAAGUGUUUUUAUGGCACUUUUUUAAAUCCAUAUCCACCUUGUGUGCAAUGUCAGUCGGUUUUUCUUUUUUCGUCAAGAAAAAAAAAGGAUCGACCAAACAUCAACUUAUUCUAAUUGAACUUUUGUCUGAAAACUAUUAUGAAAUAAACUAAUUCAAAAUA
Molecule: unclassified non-coding RNA, 165 nt
Filed under: soil metagenome
Description: partial internal transcribed spacer 1
Source: RNAcentral